UACGUAGGUGGCGAGCGUUGUCCGGAUUUACUGGGCGUAAAGGGAGCGUAGGCGGACUUUUAAGUGAGAUGUGAAAUACUCGGGCUCAACUUGAGUGCUGCAUUUCAAACUGGAAGUCUAGAGUGCAGGAGAGGAGAAUGGAAUUCCUAGUGUAGCGGUAAAAUGCGUAGAGAUUAGGAAGAACACCAGUGGCGAAGGCGAUUCUCUGGACUGUAACUGACGCUGAGGCUCGAAAGCGUGGGGAGCAAACAGG
This 253-nucleotide ribosomal RNA is filed under the name uncultured bacterium. RNAcentral describes it as "partial 16S ribosomal RNA". It matches the Rfam family "Bacterial small subunit ribosomal RNA", at positions 524 to 776 of the family's 1533-position model. The record is from RNAcentral.